RNAcentral lists this ribosomal RNA (465 nucleotides) under uncultured Klebsiella sp. RNAcentral describes it as "bacterial SSU rRNA". It matches the Rfam family "Bacterial small subunit ribosomal RNA", at positions 338 to 795 of the family's 1533-position model. The record is from RNAcentral. Lineage: Bacteria; Pseudomonadati; Pseudomonadota; Gammaproteobacteria; Enterobacterales; Enterobacteriaceae.
CCUACGGGCGGCAGCAGUGGGGAAUAUUGCACAAUGGGCGCAAGCCUGAUGCAGCCAUGCCGCGUGUGUGAAGAAGGCCUUCGGGUUGUAAAGCACUUUCAGCGGGGAGGAAGGCGGUGAGGUUAAUAACCUCAUCGAUUGACGUUACCCGCAGAAGAAGCACCGGCUAACUCCGUGCCAGCAGCCGCGGUAAUACGGAGGGUGCAAGCGUUAAUCGGAAUUACUGGGCGUGAAGCGCACGCAGGCGGUCUGUCAAGUCGGAUGUGAAAUCCCCGGGCUCAACCUGGGAACUGCAUUCGAAACUGGCAGGCUAGAGUCUUGUAGAGGGGGGUAGAAUUCCAGGUGUAGCGGUGAAAUGCGUAGAGAUCUGGAGGAAUACCGGUGGCGAAGGCGGCCCCCUGGACAAAGACUGACGCUCAGGUGCGAAAGCGUGGGGAGCAAACAGGAUUAGAUACCCGAGUAGUC